RNAcentral lists this ribosomal RNA (94 nucleotides) under Xenorhabdus budapestensis. Lineage: Bacteria; Pseudomonadati; Pseudomonadota; Gammaproteobacteria; Enterobacterales; Morganellaceae. The record is from RNAcentral.
UGGUCCCACCUGACCCCAUGCCGAACUCAGCAGUGAAACGCCGUAGCGCCGAUGGUAGUGUGGGGUCUCCCCAUGUGAGAGUAGGGCACUGCCA